GUGAGGAAUAUUGCGCAAUGGAGGCAACUCUGACGCAGCCAUGCCGCGUGCAGGAAGAAGGCGCUACGCGUUGUAAACUGCUUUUAACCGGGAAGAAACCCCAGGACGUGUCCUGGGUUGACGGUACCGGAGGAAUAAGCACCGGCUAACUUCGUGCCAGCAGCCGCGGUAAUACGAAGGGUGCAAGCGUUAUCCGGAUUCAUUGGGUUUAAAGGGUGCGUAGGCGGAGCGUUAAGUCAGUGGUGAAAUCCUGCAGCGUAACUGUAGACUUGCCAUUGAUACUGGCGCUCUUGAGUGCGCUUGAAGUGGGCGGAAUGUGCCGUGUAGCGGUGAAAUGCUUAGAUAUGGCACAGAACACCAAUUGCGAAGGCAGCUCACUAAGGCGAUACUGACGCUGAGGCACGAAAGCGUGGGGAUCGAACAGGAUUAGAAACCCGAGUAGUCC
RNAcentral lists this ribosomal RNA (445 nucleotides) under uncultured bacterium. RNAcentral's name for it is "partial 16S ribosomal RNA". It matches the Rfam family "Bacterial small subunit ribosomal RNA", at positions 354 to 796 of the family's 1533-position model. The record is from RNAcentral.